GACGAACGCUGGCGGUGUGCUUAACACAUGCAAGUCGAACGGUAAGGCCCUUUCGGGGGUACACGAGUGGCGCACGGGUGAGUAACACGUGAGUAACCUGCCCUCAUCUCUGGGAUAACAGUCGGAAACGGUUGCUAAUACUGGAUAUGAGCUUGCAAGGCAUCUUGUGGGUUGGAAAGAUUUUUUUUGGUUGGGGAUGGACUCGCGGCCUAUCAGCUUGUUGGUGAGGUAGUGGCUCACCAAGGCUUCGACGGGUAGCCGGCCUGAGAGGGCGACCGGCCACAUUGGGACUGAGAUACGGCCCAAACUCCUACGGGAGGCAGCAGUGGGGAAUAUUGCACAAUGGACGGAAGUCUGAUGCAGCAACGCCGCGUGCGGGAUGAAGGCCUUCGGGUUGUAAACCGCUUUCAAUUGUGACGAAGCUUUUUUGUGACGGUAGCAGUAGAAGAAGCACCGGCUAACUACGUG
RNAcentral lists this ribosomal RNA (468 nucleotides) under uncultured bacterium. RNAcentral's name for it is "partial 16S ribosomal RNA". It matches the Rfam family "Bacterial small subunit ribosomal RNA", at positions 28 to 507 of the family's 1533-position model. The record is from RNAcentral.